Molecule: ribosomal RNA, 240 nt
Filed under: Escherichia coli
Lineage: Bacteria; Pseudomonadati; Pseudomonadota; Gammaproteobacteria; Enterobacterales; Enterobacteriaceae
Also listed under: 1 other name
Description: partial 16S ribosomal RNA
Rfam family: Bacterial small subunit ribosomal RNA
Source: RNAcentral
AAAUUGAAGAGUUUGAUCAUGGCUCAGAUUGAACGCUGGCGGCAGGCCUAACACAUGCAAGUCGAACGGUAACAGGAAACAGCUUGCUGUUUCGCUGACGAGUGGCGGACGGGUGAGUAAUGUCUGGGAAACUGCCUGAUGGAGGGGGAUAACUACUGGAAACGGUAGCUAAUACCGCAUAACGUCGCAAGACCAAAGAGGGGGACCUUCGGGCCUCUUGCCAUCGGAUGUGCCCAGAUG